UAGCGUUUGCGAAUUCCACGAACAGUAGUUAACCUCUUAGCCAUUAUAAUGUCAUCUUUUUGAAAGACGAUGAAGAAUCUAUUAAUUCUCGCACUGUAAGUGCUGCUAUUUUGGCUCCGUGAAUGGAAUUGAUAGGGUUGAUAGCACGGUAGCGAACUCCCCGAACACAUGCUUUGAUAGUGCAUCAAGGACAAAGUUUCCAUCUAUUGACUUACGAAAAAUUUAGAAAUCAUAUCUUUUAUCAGCUAUGAGUAAAAUCGACCACGCUCUUACUUGACAGAGAAUCGCAGCGGCCGAAGGAUGCAAUCUGGUGUCCUGCUGAAGAUGUAGAGGAUGCGUCUGAAUUCUCCACAUUACGCAUCGAAUCUGAUAUUUUCGCCUAAUCCUAUGCCAUAUAAACGGCGCCUUCGGAAACCGAUAAACGACACGUCCAUCAUCUCCGGAAGGCUUACAGAGGGUUACACAUGAGCGAGCGUAGCACAAAUAACUUCAUUGCGAAUCAGCUGUGUCUCGUGAAAAAUGAUGGAUACAAAUCAGAAAAUAUUAAUUGAAAUCCAUUUCGUUGGCUUCAAUAAAUGUGCUAUGUAUCUCGAAUAAAUACACUCACCCGCACAAAAACAAAUAACGUCAAUUGUCGAUGAAAGAUCAGCGUAUUUGGAAUAAAACUCUACCAGUCAGUGGACAGAGAGCAACUGAGCGACCUUUGCCCCUGGUUAUUUCAGCCCUUCACACCCCCACUCUUGGGCUUGAUCGCGCUUCUGCAAAAUCUUGAAUAUAUUGUAUUGUUUUAUCUGACGUUUAUGGAGAAGUAAAACAUAGAAUAUCCAUUGCUUAGCUUUCUUUAUUCGAUUCAAGAUAUUAAAGAAGAUUUAAAAUCUUUUUGUGCAUUUCUAAGGAAAAAAAGGCUCUAGUAAAACUCUCGAUUAUAUUGAUUUUAUAGAUGUCGAUACUUAUAAUUAUGUUAUAUUAAUUUUAA
This 976-nucleotide long non-coding RNA is filed under the name Pogonomyrmex barbatus (red harvester ant). Its description in RNAcentral is "uncharacterized LOC105423744, transcript variant X2". The record is from RNAcentral. Lineage: Eukaryota; Metazoa; Arthropoda; Insecta; Hymenoptera; Formicidae.